CAUUUCUUCCUGUGAAGAGUUUAAAGAUGAGAACUUCUCCAGGCUUAGUGACUGUGAUAAUCUUAAUGUUUGGAAGGACUUGUGGAGACUCUGUGACCCAGAAAGAAGGCCACGUGACUGUGUCAGAAGGGGCUUCCAUGACCAUAGACUGCACUUAUUCAGCCACAGGGUACCCUUCUCUCUUCUGGUAUGUCCAGUAUCCUGGAGAAGGUCCCCAGCUCCUCUUUAGGGUCUCCAAGGCCAAUGACAAGGGACGCUACAACGGAUUUGAAGCCAUGUACAAUACAGAAAACACCUCCUUCCACUUGAAGAAAGCUGCAGUCCAAGAGUCAGACUCAGCUGUGUACUACUGUGCUCUGAGUGACACAGUGGCAGAAACCACAGGGGAAGCUGAGCACAAACUGAGUGACAGCAAGGGUCUGGCUGCUGAACUUCUUCUCUGGCAUCUGUGUGGUUUCAGCACAGUCCGAUGCAUACACCCCUCAACUUCUCUGCUGAUGUAA
Molecule: non-coding RNA, 503 nt
Organism: Dipodomys spectabilis (banner-tailed kangaroo rat)
Lineage: Eukaryota; Metazoa; Chordata; Mammalia; Rodentia; Heteromyidae
Source: the annotation of a RefSeq genome assembly